Molecule: long non-coding RNA, 333 nt
Organism: Ornithorhynchus anatinus (platypus)
Lineage: Eukaryota; Metazoa; Chordata; Mammalia; Monotremata; Ornithorhynchidae
Exons: 3
Source: RefSeq, a predicted model, not a curated record
UCCAGUGUCUCCCCUUUAGUCACUGAGUCUAACAGUUCCUUAGCACCUUUUUCUCGACCCGGGUUGGGUUUUCCAAGAACAAAGGUGUGCAGCCUCCCUCCUCCAGAGCUCCUGCAGCCAAGUUGUGUGGCCCGGACCCAACAUUCGAGUUUACGUGGACCUGCGAGAGGAACACGAUGUCUCUGGAGCAAGUGGAAAGUAUUUUCAAUGAAGCAGUGGAUUGAAGAAGUUCAGUGAGGCCCUCGUCAGACAAUAAUUCCUCUGCACGAGAUAGAGUGAACUCAUUAACGUCUGUAUCAUCUAUUUCAAAAUUAAAUUUCUUCCGCAGUUUAA